GCUAUGCGUUCUAUUAGCUAGUGGUAAGGUAACGGCUUACCAAGGCAACGAUAGAUAGGGGUCCUGAGAGGGAGAUCCCCCCACACUGGUACUGAGACACGGACCAG
This 107-nucleotide ribosomal RNA is filed under the name uncultured bacterium. RNAcentral's name for it is "partial 16S ribosomal RNA". It matches the Rfam family "Bacterial small subunit ribosomal RNA", at positions 228 to 334 of the family's 1533-position model. The record is from RNAcentral.